RNAcentral lists this unclassified non-coding RNA (253 nucleotides) under uncultured Alphaproteobacteria bacterium. RNAcentral's name for it is "contains 16S-23S intergenic spacer region". It matches the Rfam family "Bacterial small subunit ribosomal RNA", at positions 524 to 776 of the family's 1533-position model. Lineage: Bacteria; Pseudomonadati; Pseudomonadota; Alphaproteobacteria. The record is from RNAcentral.
UACGAAGGGGGCUAGCGUUGUUCGGAAUUACUGGGCGUAAAGCGCAUGUAGGCGGAUUGUUAAGUUGGGGGUGAAAUCCCGAGGCUCAACCUCGGAACUGCCUUCGAUACUGGCAAUCUGGAGUCCGGGAGAGGUGAGUGGAAUUCCGAGUGUAGAGGUGAAAUUCGUAGAUAUUCGGAAGAACACCAGUGGCGAAGGCGGCUCACUGGCCCGGUACUGACGCUGAGGUGCGAAAGCGUGGGGAGCAAACAGG